GCAUAUCAAUAAGCGGAGGAAAAGAAAAUAACAAUGAUUCCCCCAGUAACUGCGAGUGAAGAGGGACAAGCUCAAAUUUUAAAUCUGUCAGGUGAUACCUGGCCGAGUUGUAAUUUGAAGAAGCGUUUUCCGCGCGUUCUGGUCAGCCCAAGUUCCUUGGAACAGGGCAUCAUGGAGGGUGAGAAUCCCGUUCGGUUGAUCAGGUGCGUUUUACGAUACGCUUUCAAAGAGUCAAGUUGUUUGGGAUUGCAGCUUAAAAUGGGAGGUAAAUUUCUCCUAAGGCUAAAUAUUGGCGAGAGACCGAUAGCGAACAAGUACCGUGAGGGAAAGAUGAAAAGCAUUUUGAAAAGAAAGUCAAAUAGCACGUGAAAUUGUUGAAAGGGAAACGAUUAAAGUCAGUCGUACCGAUGGGCAUUCAACUCCUUGAGCGCGAUCAUGUUGGGUGUUGGGGAGCUUAGCCGUCCUCGCGUCCGCGUAUUUGUGCUCUUCGGGUGUACUUGUCCGUAUGGUAGGUUAACAUCAAUUUUGGUCGUCAUAAAAUGACGGGGGGAAUGUAGCUUCGAUCUCGUAUUGAAGUGUUAUAGCCUCUGGUAGAUGUGGUGGUUGGGAUCGAGGAUUGCAACGAAUACCCUUGGGCUAUCCGCCUGACCUCUGAAAGUCGCUUGGGUACCGAAAGCUUGCUUACGGGUCAUUCAAGUUGGCGGUCAAAAGGUUAGAACGUGAUUAAAUUCGUUAAGGAUGUUGACGUA
Molecule: ribosomal RNA, 749 nt
Filed under: uncultured Glomerales
Lineage: Eukaryota; Fungi; Glomeromycota; Glomeromycetes; Glomerales; Glomeraceae
Description: LSU rRNA
Rfam family: Eukaryotic large subunit ribosomal RNA
Source: RNAcentral